UCUCAUGUCAUUCUUGUCAUACUUCUCUCCC
Molecule: non-coding RNA, 31 nt
Filed under: Rattus norvegicus (Norway rat)
Lineage: Eukaryota; Metazoa; Chordata; Mammalia; Rodentia; Muridae
Source: RNAcentral